This 427-nucleotide ribosomal RNA is filed under the name uncultured Thermomonas sp. RNAcentral's name for it is "bacterial SSU rRNA". It matches the Rfam family "Bacterial small subunit ribosomal RNA", at positions 355 to 774 of the family's 1533-position model. Lineage: Bacteria; Pseudomonadati; Pseudomonadota; Gammaproteobacteria; Lysobacterales; Lysobacteraceae. The record is from RNAcentral.
UAGGGAAUAUUGGACAAUGGGCGCAAGCCUGAUCCAGCCAUGCCGCGUGAGUGAAGAAGGCCCUCGGGUUGUAAAGCUCUUUUGUCCGGAAAGAAAAGCAUUCGGUUAAUACCCGGGUGUUCUGACGGUACCGGAAGAAUAAGCACCGGCUAACUUCGUGCCAGCAGCCGCGGUAAUACGAAGGGUGCAAGCGUUACUCGGAAUUACUGGGCGUAAAGCGUGCGUAGGUGGUUUGUUAAGUCUGAUGUGAAAGCCCUGGGCUCAACCUGGGAAUGGCACUGGAUACUGGCAAGCUAGAGUGUGGCAGAGGGUAGUGGAAUUCCUGGUGUAGCAGUGAAAUGCGUAGAGAUCAGGAGGAACAUCCGUGGCGAAGGCGACUGCCUGGGCCAACACUGACACUGAGGCACGAAAGCGUGGGGAGCAAACA